CAGUAGCCGCGGUAAUACGUAGGUGGCUAGCGUUGUCCGGAAUUAUUGGGCGUAAAGGGAGCGCAGGCGGACAUAUAAGUCCAUCUUAAAAGUGCGGGGCUCAACCCCGUGAGGGGAUGGAAACUGUAUGCCUUGAGUGCAGGAGAGGAAAGCGGAAUUCCCAGUGUAGCGGUGAAAUGCGUAGAUAUUGGGAGGAACACCAGUGGCGAAGGCGGCUUUCUGGACUGUAACUGACGCUGAGGCUCGAAAGCCAGGGGAGCGAACGGGAUUAGAUACCCCCGUAGUCCCUGUCUCUUAUACA
RNAcentral lists this ribosomal RNA (301 nucleotides) under uncultured bacterium. RNAcentral's name for it is "partial 16S ribosomal RNA". It matches the Rfam family "Bacterial small subunit ribosomal RNA", at positions 509 to 809 of the family's 1533-position model. The record is from RNAcentral.